CCUACGGGUGGCAGCAGUGAGGAAUAUUGGUCAAUGGGCGAGAGUCUGAACCAGCCAAGCAGCGUGAGGGAUGACGGCCCUAUGGGUUGUAAACUUCUUUUAUCUGGGAAUAAAAUGUUCCACGUGUGGGGGUUUGUAUGUACCAUAUGAAUAAGGAUCGGCUAACUCCGUGCCAGCAGCCGCGGUAAUACGGAGGAUCCGAGCGUUAUCCGGAUUUAUUGGGUUUAAAGGGAGCGUAGGUGGAUUGUUAAGUCAGUUGGUAAAGUUUGGGGCUCAACCGUCAAAUUGCAGUUGAAACUGGCAGGCUUGAGUAGAGUAGAGGUGGGCGGAAUGCGUGGUGUAGCGGUGAAAUGCUUAGAUAUCACGAAGAACUCCGAUUGCGAAGGCAGCUCACUGGACUGCAACUGACACUGAGGCUCGAAAGUGUGGGGAUCAAACAGGAUUAGAUACCCCUGUAGUC
Molecule: ribosomal RNA, 460 nt
Filed under: uncultured bacterium
Lineage: Bacteria
Description: partial 16S ribosomal RNA
Rfam family: Bacterial small subunit ribosomal RNA
Source: RNAcentral